This 464-nucleotide ribosomal RNA is filed under the name uncultured bacterium. RNAcentral's name for it is "partial 16S ribosomal RNA". It matches the Rfam family "Bacterial small subunit ribosomal RNA", at positions 28 to 507 of the family's 1533-position model. The record is from RNAcentral.
GACGAACGCUGGCGGCGUGCUUAACACAUGCAAGUCGUACGGUAAGGCCCUUUCGGGGGUACACGAGUGGCGAACGGGUGAGUAACACGUGAGUAACCUGCCCACAACUUUGGGAUAACGCUAGGAAACUGGUGCUAAUACUGGAUAUGUGCUCCUGCUGCAUGGUGGGGGUUGGAAAGCUCCGGCGGUUGUGGAUGGACUCGCGGCCUAUCAGCUUGUUGGUGGGGUAGUGGCCUACCAAGGCGGCGACGGGUAGCCGGCCUGAGAGGGUGACCGGCCACAUUGGGACUGAGAUACGGCCCAGACUCCUACGGGAGGCAGCAGUGGGGAAUAUUGCACAAUGGGCGCAAGCCUGAUGCAGCAACGCCGCGUGCGGGAUGACGGCCUUCGGGUUGUAAACCGCUUUCAGCAGGGACGAAGCUUUUUGUGACGGUACCUGCAGAAGAAGCACCGGCAACUACGUG